Molecule: ribosomal RNA, 503 nt
Filed under: uncultured bacterium
Lineage: Bacteria
Description: bacterial SSU rRNA
Rfam family: Bacterial small subunit ribosomal RNA
Source: RNAcentral
ACGAGUUUGAUCCUGGCUCAGAUUGAACGCUGGCGGCAUGCCUUACACAUGCAAGUCGAACAGUAACGCGGGGCAACCUGGCGACGAGUGGCGAACGGGUGAGUAAUAUAUCGGAACGUGCCCAGUAGUGGGGGAUAGCCCGGCGAAAGCCGGAUUAAUACCGCAUGAGACCUGAGGGUGAAAGCGGGGGAUCGCAAGACCUCGCGCUAUUGGAGCGGCCGAUAUCAGAUUAGGUAGUUGGUGGGGUAAAGGCCUACCAAGCCGACGAUCUGUAGCUGGUCUGAGAGGACGACCAGCCACACUGGGACUGAGACACGGCCCAGACUCCUACGGGAGGCAGCAGUGGGGAAUUUUGGACAAUGGGCGCAAGCCUGAUCCAGCCAUGCCGCGUGCGGGAAGAAGGCCUUCGGGUUGUAAACCGCUUUUGUCAGGGAAGAAAUCUUCUGGGCUAAUACCUCGGGAGGAUGACGGUACCUGAAGAAUAAGCACCGGCUAACUACGUG